Molecule: ribosomal RNA, 592 nt
Filed under: uncultured bacterium
Lineage: Bacteria
Description: bacterial SSU rRNA
Rfam family: Bacterial small subunit ribosomal RNA (bases 1-511)
Source: RNAcentral
CCUACGGGAGGCAGCAGUGGGGAAUAUUGGACAAUGGGGGCAACCCUGAUCCAGCCAUGCCGCGUGAGUGAUGACGGCCUUAGGGUUGUAAAGCUCUUUUCUCCGGGACGAUAAUGACGGUACCGGAGGAAUAAGCCCCGGCUAACUUCGUGCCAGCAGCCGCGGUAAUACGAAGGGGGCUAGCGUUGCUCGGAAUCACUGGGCGUAAAGGGCGCGUAGGCGGCUGAUUUAGUCGAGGGUGAAAGCCCGUGGCUCAACCACGGAAUGGCCUUCGAUACUGGUUGGCUUGAGACCGGAAGAGGACAGCGGAACUGCGAGUGUAGAGGUGAAAUUCGUAGAUAUUCGCAAGAACACCAGUGGCGAAGGCGGCUGUCUGGUCCGGUUCUGACGCUGAGGCGCGAAAGCGUGGGGAGCAAACAGGAUUAGAUACCCUGGUAGUCCACGCUGUAAACGAUGAAUGCUAGCCGUUGGGUGCNUNCNCNCNGUGCGCGCACGCAUANANUCGUCCGUCGGAGGUACGGUCGCGAGAAUUAAAACUUAAAGUUAAGUAGUAGCGNGUGAGACGCGACGACGACGACGACGGAGGGAGGAG